UCGAGCGAACGGACGAGAAGCUUGCUUCUCUGAUGUUAGCGGCGGACGGGUGAGUAACACGUGGAUAACCUACCUAUAAGACUGGGAUAACUUCGGGAAACCGGAGCUAAUACCGGAUAAUAUUUUGAACCGCAUGGUUCAAAAGUGAAAGACGGUCUUGCUGUCACUUAUAGAUGGAUCCGCGCUGCAUUAGCUAGUUGGUAAGGUAACGGCUUACCAAGGCAACGAUGCAUAGCCGACCUGAGAGGGUGAUCGGCCGCACUGGAACUGAGACACGGUCCAGACUCCUACGGGAGGCAGCAGUAGGGAAUCUUCCGCAAUGGGCGAAAGCCUGACGGAGCAACGCCGCGUGAGUGAUGAAGGUCUUCGGAUCGUAAAACUCUGUUAUUAGGGAAGAACAUAUGUGUAAGUAACUGUGCACAUCUUGACGGUACCUAAUCAGAAAGCCACGGCUAACUACGUGCCAGCAGCCGCGGUAAUACGUAGGUGGCAAGCGUUAUCCGGAAUUAUUGGGCGUAAAGCGCGCGUAGGCGGUUUUUUAAGUCUGAUGUGAAAGCCCACGGCUCAACCGUGGAGGGUCAUUGGAAACUGGAAAACUUGAGUGCAGAAGAGGAAAGUGGAAUUCCAUGUGUAGCGGUGAAAUGCGCAGAGAUAUGGAGGAACACCAGUGGCGAAGGCGACUUUCUG
RNAcentral lists this ribosomal RNA (687 nucleotides) under uncultured Staphylococcus sp. RNAcentral's name for it is "bacterial SSU rRNA". It matches the Rfam family "Bacterial small subunit ribosomal RNA", at positions 62 to 731 of the family's 1533-position model. Lineage: Bacteria; Bacillati; Bacillota; Bacilli; Caryophanales; Staphylococcaceae. The record is from RNAcentral.